UACGAAGGGGGUUAGCGUUGUUCGGAAUCACUGGGCGUAAAGGGCGCGUAGGCGGCUGUUCAAGUCGGGGGUGAAAUCCCGUGGCUCAACCACGGAAUGGCCUUCGAUACUGGACGGCUGGAGACCGGAAGAGGUGAGUGGAACUGCGAGUGUAGAGGUGAAAUUCGUAGAUAUUCGCAAGAACACCAGUGGCGAAGGCGGCUCACUGGUCCGGUUCUGACGCUGAGGCGCGAAAGCGUGGGGAGCAAACAGG
This 253-nucleotide ribosomal RNA is filed under the name uncultured bacterium. RNAcentral describes it as "partial 16S ribosomal RNA". It matches the Rfam family "Bacterial small subunit ribosomal RNA", at positions 524 to 776 of the family's 1533-position model. The record is from RNAcentral.